Cyprinus carpio carpio is the source of this 1316-nucleotide long non-coding RNA. The record is from Ensembl. Lineage: Eukaryota; Metazoa; Chordata; Actinopteri; Cypriniformes; Cyprinidae.
AUGAGUGCAGAAGGAACUAAUACAAAACUGCCCAGAAGAGCGCGAAACCCUCCGAAAAAGAUGAGUUUGUAUGAACCAGACCCCAGCUCCCCCAGAGAUAACCAAGAUGGACUUUUUGUAUUUUUGACCUUUGAAGAUGGAUACACAGCAAAGAUUUUUAAUGUCUGUGAUAUACUAAACAAAGAUGAUAAACCCAUUGCUUGCUUUAGAUAUCUGACACCAGGAGAAGAAGUACUUGCAAGAUGGUCUGACAAUAAGUUCUACAAAGCUACAGUAGACUUCACUGGAACAGCUGACAAAACGGUGGAUACCAAGAAGGCGACAAAGAAAGACAUGAAAAAAAGAGAUGCAGCUGCAAAAAGAUUCUACAACCUUCCAUUCCUACCUCAAGCAGGCCAGUCCACCUCUGCACAGGAUCACCUAAAUACUGUGGACCAAAAUGUCAUUCAGCCUCCAACAACCUGGCCAGUGUACCAGCCUCCACCUACAGAGUCAUUUCUACCUGUCCAGCCACAGCACCAGCAUGCAACUGCCUGGCCACAGUACCAACUUCCAGUUUCCCAGUUAUCACCAAAUACGCCACAACAUUACCAGCAUUCACCAGUCCAGUCGCUCAACCAGUAUGGAACUACUCUGUCUCCAAUUCCACACAAUUCCAGCCUUUUGCAGUAUUCAAAGCAUCACAAAAAAAGCAUCAAAAAAUGUGGGUGGAACCCAAUAAGAGGUGUUGGAUACCCAUAUAUCACAUAGCUACGUUAAAUGUUAUGAUUGUUUCACUGUCCUCACAGUUUUGCUGCAUUUCCUUAUGUGUGAUCCAUAGAGAUAUUACAAUGUGAAUUUUGUCGUAUCAGGAUGAAAAAAGUUGUUAAUACUGUUGUGGUAACUGCGAUUACUCAAUGCAAUCUGUAAUUUGUGCUUUCUUUUCUUUUAUUCUUGCAGCUUACGUCAUGCGCUGUAGUACACUGGAUGGUUGGACACCGGUUGAGAAAAGUAAGGUCAAAAAAGCCUUCAUAAACAAAUGCCGCAUCAGGGCCACAACACUGUAAAUAUCGGAUGGGGCACACAGAGACAUUUGUUGAAAUGACAAUGUUCUAAUGUUCUAAACCUGGCCUUAAGUUUAUUGUUGUGAAUUGUUCUAAACCUGGCCUGCCACUGCUCAUAACAUUGUUAAAAUUGUUACUGUUUUAAAAACAGAAUUUUACAAAAAAAAAAGCACUUUAGUUCAUAUUUUGUAAUGACUAUGUUUAAACAGUUUUUGCUGUCUUUAAAAUGUCUUUAAAUUUGUUAAUGUUAUUUUGAUUUAAAUAAAGAUUCAG